This is a long non-coding RNA of Diabrotica virgifera virgifera (western corn rootworm), 844 nucleotides long. RefSeq lists it as uncharacterized. NCBI's taxonomy places the organism in Eukaryota, Metazoa, Arthropoda, Insecta, Coleoptera, Chrysomelidae. The transcript has 2 exons. The record is from RefSeq and is a predicted model, not a curated record.
CAAUGGUCGCGUUCACCAGAAUAAUCCGAGUGCAAUCCGAUUAAUUUGCGCUGAAACGCUGACAGUUUUUUUACUAGUGAACGACUGACGUUUGACAUUCGAUUGAGAGUGUUCUGUGUUCCAUUUGUUUAUGUUUUUAUUCUUUGUUUAUAUAAUUUAUAACCUAAACCUAGACAGUUUUGUUUUUAUUUUAAAUAAAACUGAAACUGUCUAAACUAAAAUGGAUAAUAUUCUUGAAGAACUUUUGUUUGGGGACGAAAUUAGCAAAUGCCGUUAUACAUUUAGCAGAUGUACCUACCUCAAAUUAUUCCAGAAGGAUGAGAUGAAAUUAAAUAUAUAUAAACCAUAAUUCAAUAUCCAAUUUAGAGAACAUUUUCGUAUGUCCAGAACUACUUUCCAGGAACUAUUUAAUUGUAUUGGUCAUAUCCACCAAUUUGAAAACAGAAUAAUUCUAUUGGAAAAAAUUAAUGUUUAUGAUGUGGAUGCUAAGUAAACCAGAUAAUUUGUUGCUGGGGAUACGUUUGGUUUGCCAAAGAGCUCUGGACAUAAGAUUUUCACCCAAAUAAUAUAGAAUUACAAAAAAUUGGAAAUAACUAAUCUUGAAUAUCAAUGUGUAUAUUGAGUUUAAUUUUAUUGUAAAUAUUCUAUAAUAUAAUUUUAUUGUAAAUAUUGUAUUAACACAUUUGUGGACACAUUUUCAUAUGCAGACAGUAAUUUCCCUUUGUAAGUACAUGCAUAUAUAGUCGUAUCUGCGAAUGGGUUAAUUGUAAAUCGUAAUCAAUAAAAAAUUUUUGUGAAUCAAUAAAAAACUGGUUUGUUUGAAAAUAAAUGUAGUACAAAUGUG